RNAcentral lists this ribosomal RNA (468 nucleotides) under uncultured bacterium. RNAcentral describes it as "partial 16S ribosomal RNA". It matches the Rfam family "Bacterial small subunit ribosomal RNA", at positions 28 to 507 of the family's 1533-position model. The record is from RNAcentral.
GACGAACGCUGGCGGCGUGCUUAACACAUGCAAGUCGAACGGAAAGGCCCUGCUUUUUUGGGGUGCUCGAGGGGCGAACGGGUGAGUAACACGUGAGUAUCCUGCCCUUGUCUUUGGGAUAACUUCAGGAAACUGGGGCUAAUACAGGAUAGGAGCUGCUGCUGCAUGGUGGGGGUUGGAAAGUUUAGGCCGUUGGGGAUGGACUCGCGGCUGAUGAGCUUGUUGGUGGGGGAGUGGCAUACCAAGGCUGUGACGGGUAGCCGGCCUGAGAGGGUGACCGGGCUCAUUGCUCCUGCGAUACGGCCCAGUCUCCUACGUUAGGCAGUGGUGGGGAAUAUUGCACAGUGGGCCGGCGCGUGAUGCGGCAGCGCCGCGUUCGUAAUGACGUCCUUCGGGUUGUAAACCGCUUUCGCCUGUGACGAAGCGUGAGUGACGGUAAUGGGUAAAGAAGCACCGGCUAACUACGUG